AUAGAGCAACAAACUCUAUACAGUUUUAGUGGACCCCGGUAAUCUUCAAGUCGCCAAACAGAAGAGAUUAUCGGGGUUUUUGCUA
This 85-nucleotide antisense RNA is filed under the name Erwinia billingiae Eb661. RNAcentral's name for it is "CopA-like RNA". It matches the Rfam family "CopA-like RNA". Rfam says of the family: In several groups of bacterial plasmids, antisense RNAs regulate copy number through inhibition of replication initiator protein synthesis. These RNAs are characterised by a long hairpin structure interrupted by several unpaired residues or bulged loops. Lineage: Bacteria; Pseudomonadati; Pseudomonadota; Gammaproteobacteria; Enterobacterales; Erwiniaceae. The record is from Rfam by way of RNAcentral.